RNAcentral lists this long non-coding RNA (2307 nucleotides) under Mus musculus (house mouse). RNAcentral's name for it is "long non-coding RNA chr7:91139963-91142270". Lineage: Eukaryota; Metazoa; Chordata; Mammalia; Rodentia; Muridae. The record is from RNAcentral.
UGUGUGUGUGUGUGUGUGUGUGUGUGUGUGUGUUUGUGUGUGUGUAAUUCAAAAAAUUAAACCAACUAAAUAUAAAACUAAAAUAAGUGUGGUGAAACAGCUCGUGAAGCUAGCUGAGCUGUUUCCAGGCCUAGGACAGCAUAGCACAAAAAUACGGAAAGCAGUGCUCGGAAGAAUGAGAACAGGGAAUGAGGUAGUGAGUCGUUCUCUGUAAUUCUUCCUUGUCACCGGCUAGCUGCAUUGUAGCACUGACUGGGGAACAUGAUAAUAAGACAGGUUGAAAGAUUCUUUCAAAAUGACCAGAAUCUAUCUCCAUUACCAGGAAAACAAACCUAAGCACACAUCAUACUAAUGAGGAUCAAUAAGUCAUUUUCUAACAUAAAACAUAGUAUGAUGUAUGAUCAGAGAAGAAUGGCAUACAUGUAUUCUGAAUUAUUGAUAGAGUAAGCAAGGCACCGGAAGAAUUAAGAAAAUGUAUGUGUGCCUACCUAUGUAUAUGUGUAUAUACCUAUACAUACAUGUAUAUAUUUUUUUCUUUCUGGAUUUUUUUGAGACAGAUAAUGGAGCCAGGCUCACUUCUGUUCACCAUGUGAACUACUAUACUUAAUGGCUUUCUGAACUACCUUGGCAUAUCCUUGGAAUCCUGAGACCCAUUCGAUGGAUGCUGAUGCUGACCCAACAUUGCAGCCCUUUUCAGUGGUCUACAAAAUUAAGUGUCUAAUAGCCCAGUGGAGAGACUCUGACACCUGAGACCCCUGAUAUAAGAUCUUAACACAGGAAGUAUGGAGAAAACUCUGUGUAUCAGCCUUCUUCAGUUUAUAUAUGAGAAAUCAUGUUGGUGAGACUUUAUAGAUGUAGCUUCUGACAUCCCUAAGAGUCAGAAUGUCAGAGAGUUUGCUGUGAGAUUGUGUCUCUCAGAAAGGUGUUCUAUGAGGUUCCCCGAGGCAUUGUGGAGAUGUAUCUAUUGGGACCUGACUCCACAAUGUUGCAUUUUGAUUGGUGGUAAUUCUCAUAGGAUUCUUUUUUAAAAUAGAUUCUAUUUAUUUAUUUUAUGUAGGUGAGUAUGCUAUAGCUGUCUUCAGCCUUACCAGUGUAGGGGAUGGGAUUCCAUUACAGAUGGUUGUGAGCCACCAUGUGGUUGCAGGGAAUUGAACUCAGGACCCUUAAAAGAAAAGUCAGUGCUCUUAACUACUGAGUCAUCUCUCCAGCCUAGAAGAGUCUUAAUAAUAGUUUACUUCCUGUAUUUGUUUGUUGGUAAUGUCAGCUCUACGUUUAAAAUAUAUAAUAGUCUUCUAUGUCAGACAUAUGCUUUUCCCUAAUGAAACAGAAUAAUAUAUUAAGAGAAAAAAUAAUCUUAUUUUGUCACAUUUUGAAUUAAAAGAUCAAAAGAUCUAUUACUAUAACAUAUGAAACAUAUAUGUUACUAUAUAGAGAGAUUAUUACAUAAAAGUAUGUAUUAUAUCUACAUGGAAAUGGAUAUCAAUAUACACAAAUAAGGAAAUAUAUUAAUAUAUAUUCCCAUCCAUCUAUGUGAUAGAUUAUUAAUGUUCCUAUUGUGAGGUACUUGGGGAAUGAUUCAGAAGAGAACAAGAGAAAUGAUUUUCACAUAGAUAUUUUUCUCUAAAGGACAAUUUGAAAAUCAUUCAUGUCAUUCUGUUAACCCACUAAUUUGAGGAGAAAAGGAAUAAGACAUUUAGAAAGUUUCUAUAGUAUCUUAGUCCUUUUCCUCUCUGAGUGACAUUUUAAGGAUAAAGAGAAGAUCCUAGCGCAGGAGCAAAUAUAAAGGUUGAGGUUUCUGAGAGUUCUCAUUCAGCUUCAUGGAGAUAUCUAUUUCUACUUCUAAAACCUUACUGUCCCUAGGGCUUUAUAUACUUCGUGUGUUUUCUUUGAAUGGUGUGAUUCACUGGCAUUAUGCUGAUAUAUUAGCCACUUUAUAUAUCUUUACAGCAUGUGGGUGCUAAUAACAAACUUUUACUUUAUUCUAACAAUGCCAGUAAUAUUAAUGUUAAUAUGGUUCAUCAAAACCCUGUCUAUUUUUCUAUCUCCUUGCUUCAUAGGUUUUCCUUUUGUUUUAGUCACCUAUGUAAUAAACCAGAAGGACUACAGAAUUGGCUGUUUCCAUCUUUGGGCUGACACCCAGGCAUCCUGGAAGUGCAAUACAUAAUAAGAAAGAGAUUUUGUGGUUAAGUAUAGGUUUUUCUCUUCUAUAAUAUGUUGACAUAUCACUAUAAUUCCCACCGGCAUUUUCCCAUAAAUGCAACAACUACUAAGAUGAAGAGAAUAAUAAAAAUAUUUUGAACCCGGUGC